RNAcentral lists this ribosomal RNA (817 nucleotides) under uncultured Alphaproteobacteria bacterium. RNAcentral's name for it is "bacterial SSU rRNA". It matches the Rfam family "Bacterial small subunit ribosomal RNA", at positions 557 to 1376 of the family's 1533-position model. Lineage: Bacteria; Pseudomonadati; Pseudomonadota; Alphaproteobacteria. The record is from RNAcentral.
GGUGUAAAGGGUGCUCAGGUGGUCUUGUAAGUCAGAGGUGAAAUCCCGGAGCUCAACUCCGGAACUGCCUUUGAUACUACAAGGCUUGAGUAUGGAAGAGGUUGAUGGAAUUUCGGGUGUAGCAGUGAUAUGCGUAGAUAUCCGAAAGAACACCAGUGGCGAAGGCGGUCAACUGGUCCAUUACUGACACUAAAGCACGAAAGCGUGGGUAGCGAACAGGAUUAGAUACCCUGGUAGUCCACGCCUUAAACAAUGAAUACUAGACGUUGGGGUUAAACUCAGUGUCGCAGCUAACGCAUUAAGUAUUCCACCUGGGGAGUACGAUCGCAAGGUUGAAACUCAAAGGAAUUGACGGGGGCCCGCACAAGCAGUGGAGCAUGUGGUUCAAUUCGAUGCAACGCGAAGAACCUUACCAGGCCUUGACAUCCCGGUCGCGGACUCUUGAAAGAGAGUCUUUCAGUUCGGCUGGACCGGUGACAGGUGCUGCAUGGCUGUCGUCAGCUCGUGUCGUGAGAUGUUGGGUUAAGUCCCGCAACGAGCGCAACCCUCGCCCUUAGUUGCCAUCAUUAAGUUGGGCACUCUAAGGGGACUGCCGGUGAUAAGCCGCGAGGAAGGUGGGGAUGACGUCAAGUCCUCAUGGCCCUUACGGCCUGGGCCACACACGUGCUACAAUGGCGGUGACAGUGAGCAGCUAACUCGCGAGAGUAUGCUAAUCUCAAAAAGCCGUCUCAGUUCGGAUUGCACUCUGCAACUCGGGUGCAUGAAGUUGGAAUCGCUAGUAAUCGUGGAUCAGCACGCCACGGUGAAUACGUUCCCG